UUGUGAUAAGUCGUAACAAGGUUUCCGUAGUGAACCUGCGGAAGGAUCAUAAC
Molecule: ribosomal RNA, 53 nt
Filed under: Aspergillus oryzae
Lineage: Eukaryota; Fungi; Ascomycota; Eurotiomycetes; Eurotiales; Aspergillaceae
Description: partial 18S ribosomal RNA
Source: RNAcentral